CAGCAGCCGCGGUAAUACGGAGGGGGCUAGCGUUGUUCGGAAUUACUGGGCGUAAAGCGUACGUAGGCGGCUUUGUAAGUUAGAGGUGAAAGCCUGGUGCUCAACACCAGAACUGCCUUUAAGACUGCAUCGCUUGAACGUCGGAGAGGUGAGUGGAAUUCCGAGUGUAGAGGUGAAAUUCGUAGAUAUUCGGAAGAACACCAGUGGCGAAGUCGGCUCACUGGACGACUGUUGACGCUGAGGUACGAAAGCGUGGGGAGCAAACAGGAUUAGAUACCCCCGUAGUCCCUGUCUCUUAUAC
This 301-nucleotide ribosomal RNA is filed under the name uncultured bacterium. RNAcentral's name for it is "partial 16S ribosomal RNA". It matches the Rfam family "Bacterial small subunit ribosomal RNA", at positions 509 to 807 of the family's 1533-position model. The record is from RNAcentral.